This 1465-nucleotide long non-coding RNA is filed under the name Trifolium pratense (red clover). RNAcentral describes it as "long non-coding RNA (TPRA_LNC006116)". The record is from RNAcentral. Lineage: Eukaryota; Viridiplantae; Streptophyta; Magnoliopsida; Fabales; Fabaceae.
CUUUUCUCUAAACCUAACUUCCUAACAUGCUUAAUUUUGAUUUCUGGCCUUAAUUCAUGCUUCUGUCAGUUGCCAAAAGAAACUUACUGUGGACUGGAUUUCAGUGGCCAAAAAUAAGAGAUUAAAGAAAUUUAAGGAUCUAAUAUCCGUUUCCUGAGGUUAGUGGCAAGUUAAUUGGGAUGCAUGUUUUACUUGUUGGAAUAUGUUAUCAUGAUUUUGGAAUUUGAUUGAAAUUUGUUACAUUAUUGUUCAUGUUUCUUAUAAUUGUUUAUUGCGGCUAGUUUGGUGUAGGAUGUUCUUUGUGUGGGAACAAGUUUAUUAGAGGAGUUGUUGGAGUCCCUAAAUCAGGUAACUUAGCAGGGUUUCUCAUUGACUGUGUUUUCUUGGAAUCUAUUAUUAGUAGGUAAUUAGGCAAUUAGGAUUGUGUUUGAAAAGGAGGCAUGGUUUGCUUGCCAAAAGUAUCUCCUAGAUAGUGAACUGAAGCAUGACUAAUUAAUGUCUAUGUCCAUACAUUUUUAUGGUUUAUGUAUACUUAUUAUAUGCCCUAUUUCAAUUCAUAUAGAGCUUUGUGAAAAAUUUGUUGAAUCUAAUUAUGGUUUGAGACUUGUGAGGUAUAUGAAUUUGUUGAAUCUAGGUGGAUUAGGGUUUUUGGUUGAAGUGACAUUUUGUAUUUUAUGCCUUUGUCUUGCUUUUAUUUUGGGAGAAUUACCAUUGUAUACCAACAUAUGAACUUAUUCAUAAAGAAUACCCCAUUAAUCAAGAGGUGAAUCCUGUCAUAAAAUGGUUAAAUCAUUCAUCACUUUAUAAUAGGAUAAACAACUCUGUAGUUAGUAAGUCCUUCUUUAUAAGUUCAUCACAAUGUUGUCCUUUAAUUAGAACCUUAACCUUUAUUAUGCCUUGGUUGUUAUUUACUUUUAUAGUUCUUGAUUGGUUUAAUUCAACACUGAUUAAAUUCUUUCACUAAAAUACUGUUCAGGUUAUUCUUGAAAGUAUGAUUAGAAUGCAUUGAUUGUGAUAAUUCCUAAGCUUCAGUGUGAUUAACAAGAAUUUCAAGUGAUCUCAGACGACUGUGAUACCAAAAAGGUAUGUAGUUGCUUAAUCAUUCUCAGAUUUCUAAUAUCAGUUUUAAAUUAGGAUGUUUUAUCUUAAUAGUUAAUUUCACAUGCUUGUGUUGUAACAAUAUCUUAAGAGAUUGGUCUGUAACUUAUAGUAGCUGUGUUAAUUGAUAUGUAUUGUGUUAGUAUUGGGUUGUAGAAACUAGAAGCUACAAAAGAGUGCAGAGCUUUGUCAAUAGUACGGAUGGAGUUUUACGCCGAAAGAAAAAUCUUGAUCUUCUAGAUGACACCUCUCAAUUUACUCAGGUUUCAUACAUCUUUGUAGGUCUAUAAUAUAAUAUAGCUACAUGCAUAUGUGAUAUGUUUUGAAUGUAAAGUUGUUUUUUGGUCUCUGAGAUAUAUAUAGUUGC